RNAcentral lists this ribosomal RNA (268 nucleotides) under uncultured bacterium. RNAcentral describes it as "partial 16S ribosomal RNA". It matches the Rfam family "Bacterial small subunit ribosomal RNA", at positions 524 to 791 of the family's 1533-position model. The record is from RNAcentral.
UACAGAGGCCCCCAAGUGUUAUCCGGAAUCAUUGGGCGUAAAGGGUGCGCAGGUGGUCAUAUUAGUCUUCUGUUAAAUCUACGGGCUUCACUCGUAGUCUGCAGGGGAAACGGUAUGACUCGAAGACAGGAGAGGUUGUGGGAACUCACGGUGUAGGGGUGAAAUCCGUUGAUAUCGUGGGGAACACCAAAGGCGAAGGCACACAACUGGCCUGUUCUUGACACUCAUGCACGAAAGCCAGGGUAGCGAAUGGGAUUAGAACCUACGU